Molecule: ribosomal RNA, 177 nt
Filed under: uncultured bacterium
Lineage: Bacteria
Description: partial 16S ribosomal RNA
Rfam family: Bacterial small subunit ribosomal RNA
Source: RNAcentral
AGUUGGAAUCGCUAGUAAUCGCGGAUCAGCAUGCCGCGGUGAAUACGUUCCCGGGCCUUGUACACACCGCCCGUCACACCAUGAGAGUCGGGAACACCCGAAGUCCGUAGCCUAACCGCAAGGGGGGCGCGGCCGAAGGUGGGUUCGAUAAUUGGGGUGAAGUCGUAACAAGGUAGC